ACAUCUGCUGAACUUCUGUACGGUGAA
RNAcentral lists this small RNA (27 nucleotides) under Bombyx mori (domestic silkworm). RNAcentral's name for it is "ovarian small RNA-11163". The record is from RNAcentral. Lineage: Eukaryota; Metazoa; Arthropoda; Insecta; Lepidoptera; Bombycidae.